Molecule: ribosomal RNA, 311 nt
Filed under: uncultured eukaryote
Lineage: Eukaryota
Description: partial 18S ribosomal RNA
Rfam family: Eukaryotic small subunit ribosomal RNA
Source: RNAcentral
CCCUUAGAUGUUCUGGGCCGCACGCGUGCUACACUGAGUGGAUCAGCGGGUCAGGUUGCGCGAAAGCGUUUCCUAAUCUUUAAAUCCGCUCGUGAUGGGGAUUGACGGUUGCAAUUUUCUGUCAUGAACGAGGAAUACCUUGUAAGCGCGGGUCAUCAUCCCGCGCUGAAUACGUCCCUGCCCUUUGUACACACCGCCCGUCGCUCCUACCGAUUGAGUGGUCCGGUGAAUUACAUAGAAUUUUGCGUUUUACAUGACGGAAGACGAAGUGUUUUAAACCUUAUCAUUUAGAGGAAGGAGAAGUCGUAACA